CGGACGGGUGAGUAAUGUCUGGGAAACUGCCUGAUGGAGGGGGAUAACUACUGGAAACGGUAGCUAAUACCGCAUAACGUCGCAAGACCAAAGAGGGGACCUUCGGGCCUCUUGCCAUCGGAUGUGCCCAGAUGGGAUUAGCUAGUAGUGGGGUAACGGCUCACCUAGGCGACGAUCCCUAGCUGGUCUGAGAGGAUGACCAGCCACACUGGAACUGAGACACGGUCCAG
RNAcentral lists this ribosomal RNA (230 nucleotides) under uncultured bacterium. RNAcentral's name for it is "partial 16S ribosomal RNA". It matches the Rfam family "Bacterial small subunit ribosomal RNA", at positions 99 to 334 of the family's 1533-position model. The record is from RNAcentral.